This 571-nucleotide small RNA is filed under the name Pongo abelii (Sumatran orangutan). Its description in RNAcentral is "retained intron". The record is from RNAcentral. Lineage: Eukaryota; Metazoa; Chordata; Mammalia; Primates; Hominidae.
AAUGGUUUCCAUGUCAGCGGAUAAACGCUCUCCCCUGGGCUCCCGGACGCGACGGAGGUCGUAGUAGUAGUGAGUACGUGCUGAGGAGCAAAGGAGUAACCAAGAGAUCCAGUGACCGACAGAGCAAGAGCCAUGUCGCGCCGGGGCCUGGUGGCUGGGCCAGACUUGGAGUAUUUUCAGCGUCGCUAUUUCACGCCGGCGGAGGUGGCCCAACAUAACAGGCCCGAAGACCUCUGGGUAUCUUACCUGGGACGCGUGUACGACCUAACGUCAUUGGCACAGGCAUACAAGGGGAACCUGCUGCUGAAACCCAUCGUGGAAGUUGCAGGCCAGGAUAUCAGCCACUGGUUUGAUCCAAAGACCAGAGACGUGAGUUAUACUGGAAUCUGGGAUUGUGGGUAGAGGCAAUGGAGAGCGGGGAUGGGAAGGAAAGGCGGAGGCUAGCCAGAGCCUAAUGACUGCUCUGACCCCAAACCCUCCUUUAAAGAUCCGCAAGCACAUAGAUCCGCUGACCGGCUGCCUGAGGUACUGCACCCCGCGGGGCCGCUUUGUGCACGUUCCGCCUCAGCUG